RNAcentral lists this ribosomal RNA (354 nucleotides) under bacterium LimC-100-J-157. Its description in RNAcentral is "bacterial SSU rRNA". It matches the Rfam family "Bacterial small subunit ribosomal RNA", at positions 289 to 635 of the family's 1533-position model. RNAcentral also lists the same sequence under 1 other name. The record is from RNAcentral.
GGUCUGAGAGGAUGACCAGCCACACUGGAACUGAGACACGGUCCAGACUCCUACGGGAGGCAGCAGUGGGGAAUAUUGCACAAUGGGCGCAAGCCUGAUGCAGCCAUGCCGCGUGUAUGAAGAAGGCCUUCGGGUUGUAAAGUACUUUCAGCGGGGAGGAAGGUGUUGUGGUUAAUAACCGCAGCAAUUGACGUUACCCGCAGAAGAAGCACCGGCUAACUCCGUGCCAGCAGCCGCGGUAAUACGGAGGGUGCAAGCGUUAAUCGGAAUUACUGGGCGUAAAGCGCACGCAGGCGGUCUGUCAAGUCGGAUGUGAAAUCCCCGGGCUCAACCUGGGAACUGCAUUCGAAACUG